This is a long non-coding RNA of Anopheles merus, 807 nucleotides long. RefSeq lists it as uncharacterized. The transcript has 3 exons. Lineage: Eukaryota; Metazoa; Arthropoda; Insecta; Diptera; Culicidae. The record is from RefSeq and is a predicted model, not a curated record.
UCUCCCCACCAGUGCGACGCUCACAAGCGUUACACUUCCCUAACGUUUGUUUUCUGUCUUCCUGAUCGUAACGCCUGCUACUGUCAUUUAGCCACGCGGUUCUAUUGUUAAACGCGACUAGAAUUGUGCAUAUUUUACAUUGUCUUUUCCCCAGGUGUUCUAAAUAAAUUGGUCCCCUCGUAAUCUGAUCGCUAGAUUGCGACUGGACUGCUUAAUACAGUCAAACUCGGGUUUUAGUCCCGUCGGCUGCGCCGAUACAGUUCCCUCUCUCGCUACUCCUGUCUCGCUCCACUGUUCUGGCAGAUCGUCCGGGGAAAACCACACUACCAGCGACGAAUCAUUUCGGUUUUCCGCCAGUUUGCUGUCGUCGACGCUGUCGUGAAGUGACGGAAAUAGUAAACGGACCUGCAAUGGAUCUUUAAAGAAACGAGAAAGCGCUCCAAACAGCUCUAGCAACCCGCGGAUUAAUAUUACUGUUAUCACUGCCCUUGUCUCGCGGUUGCAAGGAAGCUGUAGUUCAUUGUCCCUCCGGAACAAUGUUUGGCUGGGGCAAAUUUGCUGCAGUGUUGCGAAGUGCGGACGGACACCUUGUUCCCGUUUUGUUUCGAUUCCUUUCGUAUCGCACGGGAAGUAUUUCUGUAUAGAGUUAUCCGUGACCUUAUUUCCUUUACGUUUGCAGAUGCCGCCAUGGCGGUCAUUGCUUGCGACAUCAGCAACAAGGGCAUUUGAGAAACAAGGACCAAACACCGUCCAUCCUAGCCUGGUCUUAACCGCGAUCGGUUCAUGUAUGUCACCCUCGAUGCAUCG